RNAcentral lists this ribosomal RNA (494 nucleotides) under Muntiacus truongsonensis (annamite muntjac). RNAcentral describes it as "partial 16S ribosomal RNA". It matches the Rfam family "Bacterial large subunit ribosomal RNA", at positions 1854 to 2573 of the family's 2925-position model. Lineage: Eukaryota; Metazoa; Chordata; Mammalia; Artiodactyla; Cervidae. The record is from RNAcentral.
ACUGCCUGCCCAGUGACAACCGUUAAACGGCCGCGGUAUCCUGACCGUGCAAAGGUAGCAUAAUCACUUGUUCUCUAAAUAAGGACUUGUAUGAAUGGCCACACGAGGGUUUUACUGUCUCUUACUUCCAAUCAGUGAAAUUGACCUUCCCGUGAAGAGGCGGGAAUAUAUUAAUAAGACGAGAAGACCCUAUGGAGCUUUAACUACUUAGCCCAAAGAAACAAAAUUUAUUUCCAAGGAAACAACAACAUUCUUUAUGGGUUAACAGCUUUGGUUGGGGUGACCUCGGAGAAUAAAAAAUCCUCCGAGCGAUUUUAAAGACCAGACCCACAGGUCAAAUCACAUAAUCGCUUAUUGAUCCAAAAAUUGAUCAACGGAACAAGUUACCCUAGGGAUAACAGCGCAAUCCUAUUCAAGAGUCCAUAUCGACAAUAGGGUUUACGACCUCGAUGUUGGAUCAGGACAUCCUGAUGGUGCAACCGCUAUCAAAGGUU